Molecule: ribosomal RNA, 1372 nt
Filed under: uncultured bacterium
Lineage: Bacteria
Description: bacterial SSU rRNA
Rfam family: Bacterial small subunit ribosomal RNA
Source: RNAcentral
GAUGAACGCUGGCGGCGUGCCUAAUACAUGCAAGUCGAGCGAACGGACGAGAAGCUUGCUUCUCUGAUGUUAGCGGCGGACGGGUGAGUAACACGUGGAUAACCUACCUAUAAGACUGGGAUAACUUCGGGAAACCGGAGCUAAUACCGGAUAAUAUUUUGAACCGCAUGGUUCAAAAGUGAAAGACGGUCUUGCUGUCACUUAUAGAUGGAUCCGCGCUGCAUUAGCUAGUUGGUAAGGUAACGGCUUACCAAGGCAACGAUGCAUAGCCGACCUGAGAGGGUGAUCGGCCACACUGGAACUGAGACACGGUCCAGACUCCUACGGGAGGCAGCAGUAGGGAAUCUUCCGCAAUGGGCGAAAGCCUGACGGAGCAACGCCGCGUGAGUGAUGAAGGUCUUCGGAUCGUAAAACUCUGUUAUUAGGGAAGAACAUAUGUGUAAGUAACUGUGCACAUCUUGACGGUACCUAAUCAGAAAGCCACGGCUAACUACGUGCCAGCAGCCGCGGUAAUACGUAGGUGGCAAGCGUUAUCCGGAAUUAUUGGGCGUAAAGCGCGCGUAGGCGGUUUUUUAAGUCUGAUGUGAAAGCCCGCGGCUCAACCGUGGAGGGUCAUUGGAAACUGGAAAACUUGAGUGCAGAAGAGGAAGGUGGAAUUCCAUGUGUAGCGGUGAAAUGCGCAGAGAUAUGGAGGAACACCAGUGGCGAAGGCGACUUUCUGGUCUGUAACUGACGCUGAUGUGCGAAAGCGUGGGGAUCAAACAGGAUUAGAUACCCUGGUAGUCCACGCCGUAAACGAUGAGUGCUAAGUGUUAGGGGGUUUCCGCCCCUUAGUGCUGCAGCUAACGCAUUAAGCACUCCGCCUGGGGAGUACGACCGCAAGGUUGAAACUCAAAGGAAUUGACGGGGACCCGCACAAGCGGUGGAGCAUGUGGUUUAAUUCGAAGCAACGCGAAGAACCUUACCAAAUCUUGACAUCCUUUGACAACUCUAGAGAUAGAGCUUUCCCCUUCGGGGGACAAAGUGACAGGUGGUGCAUGGUUGUCGUCAGCUCGUGUCGUGAGAUGUUGGGUUAAGUCCCGCAACGAGCGCAACCCUUAAGCUUAGUUGCCAUCAUUAAGUUGGGCACUCUAAGUUGACUGCCGGUGACAAACCGGAGGAAGGUGGGGAUGACGUCAAAUCAUCAUGCCCCUUAUGAUUUGGGCUACACACGUGCUACAAUGGACAAUACAAAGGGCAGCGAAACCGCGAGGUCAAGCAAAUCCCAUAAAGUUGUUCUCAGUUCGGAUUGUAGUCUGCAACUCGACUACAUGAAGCUGGAAUCGCUAGUAAUCGUAGAUCAGCAUGCUACGGUGAAUACGUUCCCGGGUCU